AAAUUCGUCAAAUGAGUAUUUGAAUCCUCAUCCUGCAAACCAUCAAACUGAACAAACUGUUGUAUCAUUUGAAUCGUGUUAGGUUUCAGUUCAAAAUUAAUUGCAGUAAUAGCAGGUCUAACUAUACUCGAUUCGGCUCCUGUUAAAGUAGGUUUAGCAUAAUCAUACAUAGUACGGGGAGCAAGAUUCUGAUUUAUUGGAUCUGCAGCAACCAUAGGAGGAAGUUGAUUAUUCUGAUUUUCAGCCAUCUCCUCGGUUGUGAUUUGAAUAUCGUCCUCUUGUCCUUCCUCUAUGUCACAUAAGCUUCGCCUAAUUUCUCUUCGGUUUCUGCGAGCUAUGUGUUCUAUCUCACUAUCAAAAAGUAAUGGUCCUGAUGGGUUUCUUCUAGUCAUAAACUAUAAAAACCUGUCAGAAGGAGAAAGAAAAUUUAGUAACAAAAAUCAACAUAAAAUUUAAAUUGCAAUAAAAUAAAUUGCUAAAAUAAUAAAAAUUAAGUGUUCCUAAUAUUUUAUUUCCCUGACAACGGCGCUAAAAACUUGAUAAUCGUUAAAUCGUGAUAAGUUUUAAAUUUAUAAUUCACCGUACUUGAAAACUAACUAUUAUCACGAUGAAGGCAAGUGCACCUAUCGAACAACAAUAUAGUUUAUAGCAAGACCGAGAUGUCGAACCCACAGGAACUAAAAGUACUAGUAUUAACUCUCUUUUUAUUAUCUAGCCUAAAAAAUAAAAGGGUUUGUUUUAUCUAAAUUAAUUAACUAAACUAAGAAUGCACAGGAAGAAUGUAAUAGGCCCAUUUCGCCCGGGCCCAUAAAAAACCAAAACCAAAAUAACACAAACAAAAAUAAAAAUAAUAUAAAAACCCAAAAACAAUAAAAGUCCAAAUUUAUUAGUCCAAACAGUCCAUUUACAGCCCAAAUUUCAGAACCCAUUAACUCAAAUUGUAGUGGCCCAGUAAUAAGCCCAAUAACCCAAAGUCUUGCAGGAAUAGAAACUUUAGGGUUUCUUUUCCUCUUGCGCCGCAGCCCUCACGAGCAGCCUCGCCACAUCGCACGUGUUCCUCUGUGCCUUCGUACACUCCCAUGAACGACUUCUCCAGCUGGCUCCUCCUGCAGCAGACUAACAGAAACAACAAACAGGCCAUGGACAGUAAAUAACAGCAGAGAAAUUUGUAUUUCUUAUUUAUUUCUUAUUUUUUAUUUUUAGUUUUCGGAUAUAAAACUGAAUGAAAUGGAAUGUAAAGAGGAUCAAUCUUUUUCCCAGCAAUACACACGCAUAUUAAAAAAGAGCAAUCAAAAAUUAAAAAGGUGAUUUCCAAUACGAGUUUCUCCAUACUUUUUAAUUUUCUUGCGAUUCAUUUCCUUCUAUCUUUCAUCAUUGAUUUCAGAAAUAAAAAAGGAGAGAGCGAAGUCUUACCUUACGAGGAUGCCAUGAGUUUCCUUUUGCUUCGUUGAAAUCGAAGCUAAGAGGGGACCUCAAGGCUAAAAAACAAUCAUCGAGGCUUGAAUAUGCUACUGUGGUAGCCGAUUGAUGUUUAGGCAAAAGGGAAUUAGUCGGCCAAGGUGGAAAGUAGGAGAAAAGGGGGGUUAGGGAUUAAUUUCAGUAAAAAAAUAGCAGAGUACCAAUCGUUUUUAAUUUUUAAUGGCAAUCGUUUUGAAGCUUGAGAUAUUUAUGUCUUAGGUCCUUGAUCAUUGGUACAUGUUUCUUUUUAAUCUUUUUUUUUCCUUCAUUUACAAAUUGACCUCUUAAUCUUAUUUUUCAUUUCAACCAAGUUUUGUUUAGUUUAUAUGCUUACUCGC
Molecule: long non-coding RNA, 1796 nt
Filed under: Gossypium barbadense (sea-island cotton)
Lineage: Eukaryota; Viridiplantae; Streptophyta; Magnoliopsida; Malvales; Malvaceae
Description: long non-coding RNA (GBAR_LNC000136)
Source: RNAcentral